RNAcentral lists this ribosomal RNA (321 nucleotides) under Triticum aestivum (bread wheat). Its description in RNAcentral is "partial small subunit ribosomal RNA". Lineage: Eukaryota; Viridiplantae; Streptophyta; Magnoliopsida; Poales; Poaceae. The record is from RNAcentral.
AUGUUUUGGUGUGAUGCACAGUCGCGGAGGGACUAUCAGGACUACAGAGAUGUGGUUGUGUUUGAUAGCACGUAUAAGAUGAACAAGUAUGGUAUGCCGUUCGUCCUCUUUGUCGGAGUUAACAACCACCGUUGCACCACAGUGUUUGGAUGUGCCAUAAUUGCUGACGAGACGGAAGGGACAUAUGUGUGGCUGCUGCAGACAUUUAUGAAGGCAAACUGUCAGGUGAAGCCAAAGUCAAUAAUCACAGAUGGUGACGCUGCAAUGAUCCGGGCUAUUCGGACUGUCCUUUCAAAUGUUUUCCAUCAUCUUUGCUCCUGA